RNAcentral lists this long non-coding RNA (206 nucleotides) under Gossypium barbadense (sea-island cotton). RNAcentral describes it as "long non-coding RNA (GBAR_LNC000629)". Lineage: Eukaryota; Viridiplantae; Streptophyta; Magnoliopsida; Malvales; Malvaceae. The record is from RNAcentral.
UGUGAUUCACCCUCUGCUCCCUUUUGCGAUUUUAAUUUUUUUUCAGGUAUUUCUUAGUAAGUGCUUUCUAAUGAAUUUCAUAAGGGUUUAUGAAUGACGAUUUGACUACUUUCUUGAGGCAUGGGUUAAUCUUGUGAAAUUUUGUUGUUAGGUGAUAAUCAAGAAAUUCGGGACUUUCCACCUAUGAUUUAGUGGUGUUAGGAUCU